RNAcentral lists this ribosomal RNA (469 nucleotides) under uncultured bacterium. RNAcentral's name for it is "partial 16S ribosomal RNA". It matches the Rfam family "Bacterial small subunit ribosomal RNA", at positions 28 to 507 of the family's 1533-position model. The record is from RNAcentral.
GACGAACGCUGGCGGCGUGCUUAACACAUGCAAGUCGAACGGUGAAGCGAGUGCUUGCACUCGUGGAUCAGUGGCGAACGGGUGAGUAACACGUGAGUAACCUGCCCAUCACUCUGGGAUAAGCACUGGAAACGGUGUCUAAUACUGGAUACGACCAACCCUUGCAUGGGGUGUUGGUGGAAAGAUUUAUCGGUGAUGGAUGGACUCGCGGCCUAUCAGCUUGUUGGCGGGGUAAUGGCCCACCAAGGCGACGACGGGUAGCCGGCCUGAGAGGGUGACCGGCCACACUGGGACUGAGAAACGGCCCAGACUCCUACGGGAGGCAGCAGUGGGGAAUAUUGCACAAUGGGCGAAAGCCUGAUGCAGCGAAGCCGCGUGAGGGAUGACGGCCUUCGGGUUGUAAACCUCUUUCAGCAGGGAAGAAGCGAAAGUGACGGUACCUGCAGAAGAAGCACCGGCUAACUACGUG